UACGGAGGGGCGAGCGUUAUUCGGAAUUAUUGGGCGUAAAGGGCGCGUAGGCGGCUGUACAAGUCAAAGGUGAAAUCCCUCGGCUCAACUGAGGAACUGCCUUUGAAACUGUACGGCUUGAGGCCGGGAGGGGGUAGCGGAAUUCCCAGUGUAGCGGUGAAAUGCGUAGAUACUGGGAGGAACACCAGUGGCGAAGGCGGCUACCUGGACCGGUUCUGACGCUGAGGCGCGAAAGCGUGGGUAGCAAACAGG
This 252-nucleotide ribosomal RNA is filed under the name uncultured bacterium. RNAcentral's name for it is "partial 16S ribosomal RNA". It matches the Rfam family "Bacterial small subunit ribosomal RNA", at positions 524 to 776 of the family's 1533-position model. The record is from RNAcentral.